GGGACCGGUUACCAAUACUGUUUUGCGACCUAGACAUGAAAGACCUGCCCCUUUGCUCUUGUUUGCCUUUAUGCACAGGAGUACUAGCUGAUGAAGGCGCUGACAUAGAUGGACAUCUCUGAAACUAAGGUCGGUUCCCUCCAUGGAACCUAGGCUGGCUAUACUCGUACAGCUCAGAUCCAGCCCUCUUGUUACCCCUCAC
RNAcentral lists this long non-coding RNA (202 nucleotides) under Capsicum annuum. RNAcentral describes it as "long non-coding RNA (CANN_LNC001234)". Lineage: Eukaryota; Viridiplantae; Streptophyta; Magnoliopsida; Solanales; Solanaceae. The record is from RNAcentral.